RNAcentral lists this transfer RNA (72 nucleotides) under Leptospiraceae bacterium. Its description in RNAcentral is "tRNA-Cys". It matches the Rfam family "tRNA". Rfam says of the family: Transfer RNA (tRNA) molecules are approximately 80 nucleotides in length. Their secondary structure includes four short double-helical elements and three loops (D, anti-codon, and T loops). Lineage: Bacteria; Pseudomonadati; Spirochaetota; Leptospiria; Leptospirales; Leptospiraceae. The record is from RNAcentral. RNAcentral also lists the same sequence under 3 other names.
GGCGUCGUGGCCAAGUGGCUAAGGCAAGGCUCUGCAAAAGCCUGAUCCCGGGUUCAAAUCCCGGCGACGCCU